CUGUAAUUCAGGUGGGAUAACAAACAAAAACAAAAAAAAUCACCAAAGGGUAAAACCGGAAAUGGAAUUACGUCACUUCCUGUUCGUCAGUUGGUCUCCUGCUUUGAAAUUGAGGCAAUCGUUUUCAGCCGGAUGGUUACCCCCUGUGCUAGUGGAAGAUGUGACUUUGAAGACAGUCAUUGUAAAAGGUGCAAAAGGCUUGUCUAAGAUAAGCUGGCAGUCUACACCGCAUGGCCUGCGUUGCUGACAUUAAGUGAAGUUAAUGCAGAGUUCCUGUGCCUGACAGAUACUUGAGGAAGCAUCUUGGAGGUUGUCAAGGAGAAGGGAGGCGUUGCCAGAAGGAAGGACUGGAGUGGCGAAGUGAUCCAAAGGCAGACUGCACAUCUACGUAUAUGGUUUGCAAGGAACAUCCCGUGCCAGAGACUGUGAUACAAGGCAUGGAGCUGUACAGUGAACUCGGAGCAUCUCUUGUGCAUGUGUGAUGCUGUUUGGACUCGGUUACCGGUAUAUACCCUCAAUCUCAACUCUGUGGAUUUGGAUUUACAAUUUUAAGUAUCCAGAUGAACUGAAAUAUAUGUUCUGGUGAAUUUGGAAAAUAUGCCCAAAAGGUCCAAUCACUAUAAACUACAGUAAAUAUGUUGGACACUGGCAAUCUCAGGUUCUAAGCCAUUGUAUAAAAGGACAAUCCAUCGCAUUUCUAUUAAUACUUUUGUGUGCUGUUCUCUGAUCUGAGUUGAUGAUUUUUUUGUCCUUUUUUGUCUUUUGUCAGCAUGGCAUUGAGUAUCAUUGAGGGGCUUUUUUCUAAACAUUGGCUAUGCGAUUAAAAGAUGAGCACUAUAAGGAAAGGCGUAAUAACGCCUCAGUAGCACUUCAUGGACACAUUGAUAUCAUAAUUAAAAACAUUUCUCUCUCCCUCUCCUCCCAGCAAAG
This is a long non-coding RNA of Engraulis encrasicolus (European anchovy), 930 nucleotides long. RefSeq lists it as uncharacterized. Lineage: Eukaryota; Metazoa; Chordata; Actinopteri; Clupeiformes; Engraulidae. The record is from RefSeq and is a predicted model, not a curated record. The transcript has 5 exons.